Macadamia integrifolia is the source of this 107-nucleotide small nucleolar RNA. NCBI's taxonomy places the organism in Eukaryota, Viridiplantae, Streptophyta, Magnoliopsida, Proteales, Proteaceae. The record is from RefSeq and is a predicted model, not a curated record.
AGGCCAUGGUGAGGGCAUUCUUGGAGUAAAUCCUUGAAUCUCUCCAUAAGUUUAGAAAAGAACUUGCUAUGCUAAUGCCUAAACUAAAGGAUAUCACUUCUAAGCUU